UUGGCCGACGUCAGAGGCGUCGACGACGACGUCGACGGCACUAGCCGUUCCACGGACAGCGCGUUGGACGCCGGAUUGACGGGCAUGGCGUGGUGGGGGCCCGUCCUUCGGCACUCUGCAGUGGGCAAGUGUCGUUGACUGGGAACAAGUACAAAGGAUGCUGGCCCUGCGUACAGGUGGGCUUCCAGUGAGCCAGUCUGUGCGCAGGUACCAAGGCGCCUACAUGAUCGAGUAUCCCGGAGCGCCAUUUACUGUAGCUACGCCACCCGAAGGAGUCGAUAGGCGACCUAGAGAAGCUGACCGUCGGAUCAUAGAGGAAGGAAGCGGCAAACCCGAGGACAAUGGACUCAGAUUCUUCAUCGUAGCCCGCAUCGUGCUGGCGGCGCUCGUGGUGCUCAUGACAGCAGCGUUGCUGUUUUUUGAGCUGAAAGGCCGAAGCCUGUUCCGUGGUUCGACCACGACAACCCCGGAGCCGCAGCUGAAAUUAGAUGGGAACUCAUGAAGACCUUCUGCGGGGCACAGCCAUGUUAUACCUUCCCUACUCAGUCGCGGCGUACCGUAUCCGCUUCGAAUGUAACGUGGAAUCCACCCAGCAAAGUGAAAUACACAUUCGAGGUCACUCCUUUGAACAAGUGAA
Molecule: long non-coding RNA, 637 nt
Organism: Dermacentor albipictus
Lineage: Eukaryota; Metazoa; Arthropoda; Arachnida; Ixodida; Ixodidae
Source: RefSeq, a predicted model, not a curated record